Molecule: transfer RNA, 87 nt
Filed under: Clostridia bacterium
Lineage: Bacteria; Bacillati; Bacillota; Clostridia
Description: tRNA-Leu
Rfam family: tRNA
About the family: Transfer RNA (tRNA) molecules are approximately 80 nucleotides in length. Their secondary structure includes four short double-helical elements and three loops (D, anti-codon, and T loops). Further hydrogen bonds mediate the characteristic L-shaped molecular structure. tRNAs have two regions of fundamental functional importance: the anti-codon, which is responsible for specific mRNA codon recognition, and the 3' end, to which the tRNAs corresponding amino acid is attached (by aminoacyl-tRNA synthetases). tRNAs cope with the degeneracy of the genetic code in two manners: having more than one tRNA (with a specific anti-codon) for a particular amino acid; and 'wobble' base-pairing, i.e. permitting non-standard base-pairing at the 3rd anti-codon position.
Source: RNAcentral
GCCGAAGUGGUGGAAUUGGCAGACGCGUCGGACUCAAAAUCCGAUGGUAGCGAUACCGUGUGGGUUCAAGUCCCACCUUCGGCACCA